Molecule: ribosomal RNA, 522 nt
Filed under: uncultured bacterium
Lineage: Bacteria
Description: bacterial SSU rRNA
Rfam family: Bacterial small subunit ribosomal RNA
Source: RNAcentral
AAUAGAUACCCCGGUAGUCCUUGCUGUAAACGAUGUAUACUUGGUGUAACUGGACUCAACCCCAGUUGUGCCGGAGCUAACGCGUUAAGUAUACCGCCUGGGGAGUACAGUCGCAAGGCUGAAACUCAAAAGAAUUGACGGGGACCCGCACAAGCAGUGGAGCAUGUGGUUUAAUUCGAUGCAACGCGAAGAACCUUACCCAGGCUUGACAUGCAGUAGACCGGUCCAGAGAUGGGCCUUUCCUUCGGGACUGCUGCACAGGUGCUGCAUGGCUGUCGUCAGCUCGCGCCGUGAGGUGUUGGGUUAAGUCCCGCAACGAGCGCAACCCUUAUCAUUAGUUGCCAACAUUUAAGGUGGGAACUCUAAUGAGACUGCCUGGGUUAAACCAGGAGGAAGGUGAGGAUGACGUCAAGUCCGCAUGGCCCUUAUGUCUGGGGCUACACACGUGCUACAAUGGUCGGUACAGAAGGCAGCGAAGCCGUGAGGUGAAGCAAAUCCCAAAGCCGGCUCAGUUCAGAUUGU